AUGAGUUUUUCUUACUGAGAGUGACCAAAGCAGAACAUAGGAAGGAGUGCAGCAAAUCAAAGAAGCAAAGAAAAGGUUGGGAAGACAGACAAGCAGCAGCUAAUGCAGCCAUGCCACGGUGUUGAAGCGCGACGUCGGGUGAAAUGCAGGCAUUGUGUGGAGCCGUGAGAGCGCCAGCAGUGCACGGCACGUGGGAACACAUUCAGGCCUACACCAAUGAGAAGAAACAGGAAAGGCUGUGGGCAUCCCACUGCCUUUGCUGUGCUGAUUCCUGGGGAAGCAGA
RNAcentral lists this long non-coding RNA (284 nucleotides) under Gallus gallus (chicken). RNAcentral's name for it is "long non-coding RNA NONGGAT008760". The record is from RNAcentral. Lineage: Eukaryota; Metazoa; Chordata; Aves; Galliformes; Phasianidae.